This 501-nucleotide ribosomal RNA is filed under the name uncultured bacterium. Its description in RNAcentral is "partial 16S ribosomal RNA". It matches the Rfam family "Bacterial small subunit ribosomal RNA", at positions 28 to 523 of the family's 1533-position model. The record is from RNAcentral.
GAUGAACGCUGGCGGCGUGCCUAAUACAUGCAAGUCGAGCGGAGAUGAGGUGCUUGCACCUUAUCUUAGCGGCGGACGGGUGAGUAAUGCUUAGGAAUCUGCCUAUUAGUGGGGGACAACAUUCCGAAAGGAAUGCUAAUACCGCAUACGUCCUACGGGAGAAAGCAGGGGAUCUUCGGACCUUGCGCUAAUAGAUGAGCCUAAGUCGGGUUAGCUAGUUGGUGGGGUAAAGGCCUACCAAGGCGACGAUCUGUAGCGGGUCUGAGAGGAUGAUCCGCCACACUGGGACUGAGACACGGCCCAGACUCCUACGGGAGGCAGCAGUGGGGAAUAUUGGACAAUGGGGGGAACCCUGAUCCAGCCAUGCCGCGUGUGUGAAGAAGGCCUUAUGGUUGUAAAGCACUUUAAGCGAGGAGGAGGCUACUGAGACUAAUACUCUUGGAUAGUGGACGUUACUCGCAGAAUAAGCACCGGCUAACUUCGUGCCAGCAGCCGCCGUAA